CACCACUCAAGCCCGGCUUGGUAUUGGGCGGUAGGGCUCCCCUACGCCCCAAUUUCACCGGCUGGACGACCCGUAUCUCAGCGUUGUGGUAUUAAAAUUCGCUGGCGAGAAGGGCGGCCACGCCGUUAAAAUUUCCAUCAA
RNAcentral lists this unclassified non-coding RNA (141 nucleotides) under uncultured Ascomycota. RNAcentral describes it as "sequence contains ITS2". Lineage: Eukaryota; Fungi; Ascomycota. The record is from RNAcentral.